RNAcentral lists this ribosomal RNA (939 nucleotides) under uncultured archaeon. RNAcentral describes it as "bacterial SSU rRNA". It matches the Rfam family "Bacterial small subunit ribosomal RNA", at positions 8 to 919 of the family's 1533-position model. The record is from RNAcentral.
AGAGUUUGAUCCUGGCUCAGAAUGAACGCUGGUGGCGUGCCUAACACAUGCAAGUCGAACGAGAAACCUCGAGCUCGCUCGAGGAAGUAAAGUGGCGAACGGGUGAGUAACGCGUGGGUAACCUGCCCUUGAAACUGGGAUAACCUGCCGAAAGGCAGACUAAUACCGGAUAAAGUCUUUAUGGCUAUGGCUUUAAGGAUGAAAGAUGACCUCUUCAUGAAAGUUGUCGUUCAGGGAGGGGCCCGCGUACCAUUAGCUUGUUGGUGGGGUAAUGGCCUACCAAGGCUACGAUGGUUAGCUGGUCUGAGAGGAUGAUCAGCCACACUGGAACUGAAACACGGUCCAGACUCCUACGGGAGGCAGCAGUGAGGAAUUUUGCGCAAUGGGGGAAACCCUGACGCAGUAACGCCGCGUGAGUGAAGAAGGCCUUCGGGUCGUAAAGCUCUGUCAAGUGGGAAAAAAUUCUUAUGGUCAAUAGCCAUAAGAACUGAUGGUACCAUUGAAGGAAGCACCGGCUAACUCCGUGCCAGCAGCCGCGGUAAUACGGAGGGUGCAAGCGUUGUUCGGAAUUACUGGGCGUAAAGGGCGUGCAGGUGGUUUGGUAAGUCAGAUGUGAAAGCCCUGGGCUUAACCCGGGAAGUGCGUUUGAAACUGCCAGGCUAGAGUAUGGGAGAGGAGAGUGGAAUUCCCAAUGUAGAGGUGAAAUUCGUAGAUAUUGGGAGGAACACCCGUGGCGAAGGCGGCUCUCUGGACCAAUACUGACGCUGAGACGCGAAAGCGUGGGUAGCAAACAGGAUUAGAUACCCUGGCAGUCCACGCUGUAAACGAUGAGAACUAGGUGUAGCGGGUAUUGACCCCUGCUGUGCCGUAGUUAACGCAUUAAGUUCUCCGCCUGGGGAGUACGGUCGCAAGGCUAAAACUCAAAGGAAUUGGCGGGGG